Molecule: transfer RNA, 73 nt
Filed under: Marmota monax (woodchuck)
Lineage: Eukaryota; Metazoa; Chordata; Mammalia; Rodentia; Sciuridae
Description: tRNA.Thr
Source: RNAcentral
UGGGGUUUUGGCUCAGUGGUAGAGAGCUUGCCUAGUAUGCAUGAGGCACUGGGUUUGAUUCUCAGCAUCACAU